CAGCGGAGCGUGUGGUUAAUUCGUUGCUACACGAAGAACCUUACCUGGGUUUGACAUAUAGGUUGUAGGGAACUGAAAGGGACCGACCUUCGGGGAGCCUAUACAGGUGUUUGCAUGGCUGUCGUCAGCUCGUGUCGUGAGAUGUUCGGUUAAGUCCGCUAACGAGCGCAGCCCUCGUCGUAUGUUAUAUGUGUCAUACGAGACUGCCGGUAAAAGCCGGAGGAAGGUGAGGAUGAUGUCAAGUCAGCAUGACCUUUAUAUCCAGGGCUACACACACGCUACAAUGGUCUGUACAAUGGGUAGCCAAGCCGCGAGGCGGAGCCAAUCCUGAAAGCAGGCCUCAGUUCAGAUUGCAGUCUGCAACUCGACUGCAUGAGGCCGGAGUUGCUAGUAACCGCAGGUCAGCAAUACUGCGGUGAAUACGUUCCCGGGUCUU
RNAcentral lists this ribosomal RNA (436 nucleotides) under uncultured Anaerolineaceae bacterium. RNAcentral's name for it is "bacterial SSU rRNA". It matches the Rfam family "Bacterial small subunit ribosomal RNA", at positions 930 to 1382 of the family's 1533-position model. The record is from RNAcentral. Lineage: Bacteria; Bacillati; Chloroflexota; Anaerolineae; Anaerolineales; Anaerolineaceae.